RNAcentral lists this ribosomal RNA (351 nucleotides) under Triticum aestivum (bread wheat). RNAcentral's name for it is "partial small subunit ribosomal RNA". The record is from RNAcentral. Lineage: Eukaryota; Viridiplantae; Streptophyta; Magnoliopsida; Poales; Poaceae.
AUGACGAGGGAAAAGCGACCUGAUCUCUUAACAAAGGUAUGGCCAGUUGUUGAGCCCCUUAUCAGGAAGCCUCCUGCAGCCCCAUGGCCAUACGUCCAAUCGGCAGUUACAGGAAGUUACGCGCCUAAUCACUUGAUUUGUCCAAUUAGCAUGGAUAUUAUGAAGGAUCCUCAAGUGGCAUCUGAUGGAUUCACUUACGAAGCAGAAGCCAUAAUGCGCUGGUUUGAUGGCGGGAACAACAGGUCUCCGAUGACGAACUUGCCGCUAACAAGUCAUGAUCUCGUCCCGAAUCGAGCCCUCCUCUCUUCCAUCCAGGAGUACCUUGAUCAGCAGAAGCAGCCAGGUUCCUGA